UACGAAGGGGGCUAGCGUUGUUCGGAAUUACUGGGCGUAAAGCGCGCGCAGGCGGCUAUCCAAGUCAGUGGUGAAAGCCCGGAGCUCAACUCCGGAACUGCCAUUGAAACUGUUUAGCUUGAGGAUGAGAGAGGUGAGUGGAAUUCCCAGUGUAGAGGUGAAAUUCGUAGAUAUUCGGAAGAACACCAGUGGCGAAGGCGGCUCACUGGACCGGUAUUGACGCUGAGGUGCGAAAGCGUGGGGAGCAAACAGG
RNAcentral lists this ribosomal RNA (253 nucleotides) under uncultured bacterium. RNAcentral describes it as "partial 16S ribosomal RNA". It matches the Rfam family "Bacterial small subunit ribosomal RNA", at positions 524 to 776 of the family's 1533-position model. The record is from RNAcentral.